Molecule: long non-coding RNA, 1792 nt
Organism: Musa acuminata AAA Group (dessert banana)
Lineage: Eukaryota; Viridiplantae; Streptophyta; Magnoliopsida; Zingiberales; Musaceae
Exons: 2
Source: RefSeq, a predicted model, not a curated record
CUAUGGAUUUUGUUUCAGGACUACCCAGAACCUCGAGGAAGCAUGAUGCUAUUUGGGUUAUCAUUGAUAGGUUAACAAAAUCUGCACAUUUCCUACCGAUUAAUAUGACUUAUUCGCUUGAUAGACUUGCAGAUUUAUAUGUCAGUGAAAUAGUAAGACUUCAUGGUGUUCCAAAGGAGAUCAUCUCUGAUAGAGACUCUAGAUUUCUCUCUAGAUUCUGGAGAAGAUUGCAGGAGUCGAUGGGCACUAAAGUUAAGUUUAGUACUGCAUAUCAUCCUCAGACUGAUGGUCAGUCAGAAAGAACAAUUCAAACACUUGAGGAUUUGCUUAGAGCCUAUGUUAUGGAUUGGAAAGAUGAAUGGGAUAAGGAUAUUUCACUUGUUGAGUUCACGUAUAACAAUAGUUAUCAUUCAAGUAUUCAGAUGGCUCCUUAUGAAGCUUUAUAUGGGCGAAAGUGCAUAACACCUAUAUGUUGGGAGGAAGUUGGGGACAGAAAGUUGUUAGCACCGGACCUGGUACAAGAAACUACCGAGAAAAUUCAAGUUAUAAGGAAAAGGUUAAAAGCUGCUCAAGGUCGUCAAAAGAGUUAUGCCGAUAAUAGGAGACGAGAUAUUGAGUUUGAAAUCGGAGAUUUUGUAUUCUUAAAAGUCUCCCCUUCCAAAGGCAUUAUAAGGUUUGGGAAGAAAGGAAAGUUAAGCCCAAGAUUUAUUGGACCUUUUGAGGUUCUUGAGAGGGUUGGUUCUGUCGCUUACAAGAUUGCCUUACCACCAGCAUUGAGCCAUGUCCAUGAUAUAUUUCAUGUCUCGAUGAUUAGAAAGUAUAUGUAUGACCCUUCUCACAUCAUUAAGUAUGAGCUGGUGGAGUUCGAUAAAGAUUUAUCCUAUGUGGAAGAGCCUAUUCAGAUUAUUGAUAAGGAAGAAAAAGUCCUAAGGAAUCGGGUCAUCCCACUGGUUCAAGUAAAUUGGAGACAUCAUUCUGGAGAAGAGACAACUUGGGAGCUAGAAGAGGAAAUGAAAAAGGUGUAUCCUCGUCUUUUCAUCGAAUAGAGGUACGAUAAAUUUAGAGGACUAAAUUUUUCUUUUAAGGGGGGGGAGAGUGUAACACCCCUCAUUUCCGAAUGUUCGUAUAAAUUUUUGGUGAUAAUGUAAGCAUCUAUUUUAAUUGACAAAAGAAAUAGAGUAUGAAUCAGAGGUAACUUAUUUUUAAGAUUUGGGAGAUCUGUUCAAAAAAAAAAAAAAAAAAGAAAAAGAAAGAAUCUGAGGACCUAUAUGUAAACCCUAAGGACCUAAUCGUGAAUAUGAUAAAAAUGAGGACUAAACUGCAAAAUGCACCAAAUGACAAAUUCCACCGCUUAAGCCUCUCUGCCUUCGUUGUUAAGGAAGCAGAGGAGGCAGCUCGUGGGUGAUCAGGGAAAGAAAAGAAGAAGAAGAAGAAGAAGAAGAAGAAGAAGGAGAAGAGAAAGAAAAUUUGGGGCUUUUAGGGUUUUUGCUUUAAUCUUGUUACUUCGGGUCAAAAUUUGCAAAGGAUAGCGUAACUCUUGCUUAAAUGUUAAGAAUGGGCUGAGGCAGCGGAAAGUUUAGAAGACGUUGGGCAGAACUUUUGUUAGCAUAUAUGUAGUUGUGUAUAAGCUACCUUGUAUCUAAUGAAAUGUGACUAUGAAUCUAAACCUGUGGAUUUUGUGUAAGUUAAAGGAUCCCUCAUGUAUAGGGUUUUGGUAUGUUAAAUUAAAUUUGUGUAAGGAUAUGAACUUAUGGUAAAUCGAUGAUUGUGGUGACUGCAUAGAUUUUUCCCA